Molecule: long non-coding RNA, 1711 nt
Organism: Homo sapiens (human)
Lineage: Eukaryota; Metazoa; Chordata; Mammalia; Primates; Hominidae
Source: Ensembl
GAGGAGGCUGUCAACAUCUCGGAGUUCUUCCCAUGUGCAAGGCAGGGUGCUGAGCCUGUGAUGCGUAUGUAUGAAGCCGUGUCAUGCUCACCACUCCCCUAUUGAGCAGUGUGCGAUCCCCAACCUCUGAUGUUACACGGAACCAGCUACCCAACGAGUUGUUUUUUACAUUUCCCUUUUGGUGUUCUAUUUAUCUGGCCUUAAACAGGCCUGGCUGAGAAUAUUUAAAAUCAGAGAACGCACGGCUGGACACAAGGCAAACCGUAUUCCACACGCGCAUUUGCUUAGGAGCAGAGUUCAGCAACGUGACGCUGCCUCCCAAGGGCUUGGGUUGUUCCCCCAUCCUCUCUCCACGACUCCGUCCCACCUUCCCAGUACUUAAAAGACGACGGCAGUAACCAACAAUGAAUGCCCCAGCUCAGGAGAGCAGCUUUGUGACCGGAAGGCCACGGCUUCCAGGAGCCUGAGGAGGGAAGGUCAGCCCUGAGGAGGGAACAGCACAAGCCAGGCUCGCGUGUUGACAUGAAGGGUUCUCUGAGCCCAGCCUGAGCAAAUACUAACACACACCGCCUGUGCUGGCUACUGUCUAGCAGCCACUGGUCCCGAAACUCCACACAGUCAGGCCAUCUCUGAAGCCGCCAACACGCACCUACCUUCUGGGCAAGAACACGAAUCUGUCAUUUGCACUCGUGUAUUUGCAAUCGGUGCGAACACUCACAGUCUCUAUGCUGCAUGUGGGGAACACGCAGCCAUUUCAACUAUGAAAAAAAAGAAGACGGCAGACAACAGUUUAAAAAAAGGAGACCAGGAGCAUCAUAUUUCACUGAGUAAAUUGACAAAAGGUCAAAAAGCUUGAUCUUGGCCACUGAUGUGCUUGGUCUGAAAGCUAAACUGCCACUUAAAUAUUCAUAGGCAAGCGCGGUAGCUGCAGCCUCCGGUUGCCCUGAGUCCACAGAGGAGCAAGGCUGGGGCCAUUUUAUGAGAAAAAACAAGCUCCCUCCCGAGCCGGGUUCUGGGCAGGAGAGGACUCUGCUCCUGCAACCAGCCCGCACCCGCUGAGCCUUCGUUGCUGUGUCCUGUAUCCCAGAAGAAUGGUCACUCUGUCACCAUGGCUGGAGUAGUGGCACAAUCUCGGCUCAUUGCAACCUCCACCUCUUAGGCUCAAGCAGUCCACCUGCCUCAGCCUUCCAAAGUGCUGUGAUUACAGGCGUGAGCCACCACGCCCAGCCCAUUCUUUUACUACGUCUUCAAAAAUCUUAACAUGACACAUUUCUGUUCAGUCAAGCCACAGUUCCAGAGCUCGAUGGCCACAGGUGGCUCCUGUGUCUACGAGACAGGCAGAGGGCCAGGCUAGUGCUGCACCAUGCAUUCAGGAAGGGAGCAGGAACCUCCUCUCUUCAUUCUCUACCCUUCUCUCUGGAAUCUCAUGGGAAUCUCCUCUCGGUGACUGUUCUUAUUGCCACGUGAACAACGGACCAAGGAGGAUGGAGGUCUCUGAGGAGGGGCAGGAUUCUGGUGGGAACCGUAUGAGGGGAAACUGGGAGACAGGCAUGGCCUGAAAUGGGGUCGUGAAUAUGGAGAAAUCUGGACGAAGCUGGAGCCUCAGGGUUGGAAGAGUUGCGGUCUCUGGGCUGGUGAGCACAGACUCCAGCUGCCUUGAACUCUGGGGCCCAUGACAGAAACUACUCUCCUGCCCCAUGCUGGAGGCUGC